Molecule: long non-coding RNA, 270 nt
Organism: Austrofundulus limnaeus
Lineage: Eukaryota; Metazoa; Chordata; Actinopteri; Cyprinodontiformes; Rivulidae
Exons: 3
Source: RefSeq, a predicted model, not a curated record
CGACGACAUCUGUCCACACCUGGGGGGAUCAGGAGGACACUGUACAGUCUCAGGCAUUCUGCCCAUGUACAGAAAGUCGUGCGACAACCAUGCUUUCUGCUUUGCACGCGCCCACGUAGAGGAUGACCCCUGCCCAACUGUGUCUAAAUAUCUAGAGAUUGUCUUCAGCUGUGAACAGAAAGUUUGUCUGCACGGUUUGGGUGUUGAGAACGGGACCAUCACAGACUCCCAGCUCUCUGCUUCCUCCUCCAUCGGUUCCUUCACUCCCAA